Molecule: ribosomal RNA, 253 nt
Filed under: uncultured bacterium
Lineage: Bacteria
Description: partial 16S ribosomal RNA
Rfam family: Bacterial small subunit ribosomal RNA
Source: RNAcentral
GACGAACCGUGCGAACGUUGUUCGGAAUCACUGGGCUUAAAGGGCGCGUAGGCGGGCUUGCAAGUCUGUGGUGAAAUCCUCCAGCCCAACUGGAGAACGGCCGUGGAUACUGCGAGUCUCGAGGGAGGUAGGGGCGUGCGGAACAGAUGGUGGAGCGGUGAAAUGCGUUGAUAUCAUCUGGAACUCCGGUGGCGAAGGCGGCACGCUGGACCUCAUCUGACGCUGAGGCGAGAAAGCUAGGGGAGCAAACGGG